Small nuclear RNA from Neltuma alba, 196 nucleotides. RefSeq annotates it as U2 spliceosomal RNA. The transcript has a single exon. The record is from RefSeq and is a predicted model, not a curated record. NCBI's taxonomy places the organism in Eukaryota, Viridiplantae, Streptophyta, Magnoliopsida, Fabales, Fabaceae.
AUACCUUUCUCGGCCUUUUGGCUAAGAUCAAGUGUAGUAUCUGUUCUUAUCAGUUUAAUAUCUGAUACGUGAGCCAUUGGCUCACAUGAUAUUAAAUUAAUUUUUUUAGGGGAAGGGCUCACCACGGUAGCUUGCUACUGGGGUCCUUGAGCGUCGCCCAUGUGUUGCACUGCUGCACGGGCCUGGCGCACCCCAA